This 376-nucleotide unclassified non-coding RNA is filed under the name uncultured Flavobacteriaceae bacterium. Its description in RNAcentral is "contains 16S-23S intergenic spacer region". The record is from RNAcentral. Lineage: Bacteria; Pseudomonadati; Bacteroidota; Flavobacteriia; Flavobacteriales; Flavobacteriaceae.
UCACAGUUUGCACUGGCAGUCUGGUUAGAGUUCCCGACUUGACUCGCUGGCAACUAACCACAGGGGUUGCGCUCGUUAUAGGACUUAACCUGACACCUCACGGCACGAGCUGACGACAACCAUGCAGCACCUUGUAACUUGCCCGAAGGAAAAGGUGUUUCCACCCCUGUCAAUCCCCAUUUAAGCCCUGGUAAGGUUCCUCGCAUAUCAUCGAAUUAAACCACAUGCUCCACCGCUUGUGCGGGCCCUCGUCAAUUCCUUUGAGUUUCAUUCUUGCGAACGUACUCCCCAGGCGGGGUGCUUAAUGCGUUAGCUUCGGCACGGACGGAGUCGACACCGCCCACACCUAGUUCCCAUCGUUUACGGCGUGGACUAC